GCCUUGGUGGUGUAGUGGUAGUACGCGUCCCUGCUAAGGACUGAUCGAAGGUUCAACUCUCGCCUAUGAUC
Non-coding RNA from Parelaphostrongylus tenuis, 71 nucleotides. The record is from the annotation of a GenBank genome assembly. Lineage: Eukaryota; Metazoa; Nematoda; Chromadorea; Rhabditida; Metastrongylidae.